ACUAUUUUGGCAGAUAAGUGCAUUAGAUUUAGAAUCUAUUAAUGUGAAGUAAUUUUACAGGUAGUA
This 66-nucleotide transfer RNA is filed under the name Bulbitermes sp. D TB-2017. RNAcentral's name for it is "tRNA-Leu". It matches the Rfam family "tRNA". Rfam says of the family: Transfer RNA (tRNA) molecules are approximately 80 nucleotides in length. Their secondary structure includes four short double-helical elements and three loops (D, anti-codon, and T loops). Lineage: Eukaryota; Metazoa; Arthropoda; Insecta; Blattodea; Termitidae. The record is from RNAcentral.